RNAcentral lists this ribosomal RNA (377 nucleotides) under uncultured bacterium. Its description in RNAcentral is "bacterial SSU rRNA". It matches the Rfam family "Bacterial small subunit ribosomal RNA", at positions 523 to 898 of the family's 1533-position model. The record is from RNAcentral.
AUACGUAGGGGGCAAGCGUUGUCCGGAAUUACUGGGCGUAAAGGGUGCGUAGGCGGCAUGUUAAGUUGGAUGUGAAAUACCCGGGCUCAACCUGGGGGGUGCAUCCAAAACUGGCAAGCUAGAGUGCAGGAGAGGAAAGCGGAAUUCCUAGUGUAGCGGUGAAAUGCGUAGAUAUUGGGAGGAACACCAGUGGCGAAGGCGGCUUUCUGGACUGUCACUGACGCUGAGGCGCGAAAGCCAGGGGAGCGAACGGGAUUAGAUACCCCGGUAGUCCUGGCUGUAAACGAUGGGUACUAGGUGUUGGGGGUAUCGACCCCUCCAGUGCCGCAGUUAACGCAAUAAGUACCCCGCCUGGGGAGUACGGCCGCAAGGUUGAA